Molecule: long non-coding RNA, 3926 nt
Organism: Cyanistes caeruleus (blue tit)
Lineage: Eukaryota; Metazoa; Chordata; Aves; Passeriformes; Paridae
Source: RefSeq, a predicted model, not a curated record
UGCUAGGGCGGCUCUGCCGUCUCCAGGCCCUGCAGGAAACAUGUAAUGAAUUAUGGAUGCUUGCUUUGCUCAAAGAGGGCCUGAUCUGUAAUGCAGAUGAGCUGCCAGGCCAACCCCCCCCACCUGCCCCACCCCCCUUUUCUUCUAGGUUCUUAAAAAAAAAAGUUAAAAAAAAAAAAUCGGGGAGGGGGGGAAAAAAAAAUCAGUUUUAAAUCAGAAUCUGCCGUUUGCGCGUCCCCCACCGCAACAGAGGCUCCCGAAGCCGAUGGCAAUUCUCAUGCAAAGGCAGGGCCAGAGGCUGACAUUUUGAUUCUGCCUUAAUUAAACCACUUUGGAAGCAGCAUGACUCUGUUUUGGAAUGAGUUGAAGUGGUACAAGUUUUGUGCAGAGGCAUCUCUGUUUCAUAGUGACUACAUCCCUUCUGACAGUCCUCCCACAGCUAGCCCACCUUGCCUUGCUUCAGGCCUGCAUCAGGAUUCUGUGGCAAAUAUGAUACACAGAGCCAAAGAAGAUCCUAUACCCUUGAAGGCCCAGACCAAAUCUACCAUGACAGCCUCCUGCCAUCAGAUCCCUAUCGAGCAAGGGCAUCUGGAAGCUCAUUUGGGAUGAGAACUGCUCCCUUUCACCAUCCCUGCUGGCCUUCUGUGGGCAGAGGCAUCAUUUCCUUUCGUUUUCUUCGAGAUGCCCUGUGACUGUUCCUGUCUGAUCACAUUCCCCACUCUCCUCACCCUGAAGCUAACAUCUCUGCACUGGCUGGAGUAAGCCCAAAGGUUGUUAAACUCUGGUUUGGCUACUGGGUUUUGCUACAGGAAUGAAAGUGGAAGAAUGCCUUGUGCUGAUCCACACCUUGGUAAGAGCACCUUCUUCUGACAUCCCACCUUGGGGUUAAGCCUCCUCCCCUGGCUGUGGUGCUACACAUAUAAAUCACCUUUCUGUAGCUGGAUAACCCUUUACUUUAAGGGUCUUUUCCUUUAACUGAAAGCAGUAGGGACAGUGGAGAGACUGUGGCUAAAGAUGUAUUUACUUGAAACAUCCAGAGCUCUGAAUAUAUCACCAGCAUGGGCCAGAAUGGCCUGGGGAACAUCUGUGCUUCAUCUGUGCUCAACAAAGACAAAUACUUCUCACUGGGUGCUUUGUUCUUAUAUAAGUUUCCAUAUCAGUAGAAAUAAUUCAAUGUAUCUUGGUAAUUCUGUUAAGGCAGGCUCACCAGUUCCCCCACUUCGGAUUCAAUAGUAAUUACGUUGAUAUUACCUGCAGGUAUCUUUGUAAGAUAAUGCUGUUAAUGUCACUGCUCCAGAAGCUUUAUCAAUACAUUAAUUGGUACAGGAAAGUUGACAGCCUGCCCUUACAAGUGCUUGGCUUUGAGCAGCCUGAAACUAAAAUGAUUAUUUGAAAUUAUUUUCAUUUUUGAGGAUAGUGCUCUGCAGAGGGACAGCAAGAAGCAGCAUCCUUAAAUGGCACCCAGGUUUGAUGAAUGGAAAAAUAAUGCAAUCACUAUUUUUGUUUGUUCCUGUAGUGAAGGCACAUCCAAGGGCUUUGGUGAGGAUUAGGGUCUCUGUGCUCAGUAACAUGUUACAAACAUUUUGCAAUCAAAUAUGGAUUCCUGUAUAAGAAAAUGAAACUAUUCCCUUUCAGAAAAAUUGAAUUCCUUUCCCAAGAGGUCGAUAAGCACCCUUAGACAGCAGUGGUUGAGAAGCAGCUGCCAUGGUGUGGAGCAGAGCUUUCUGAUGAGGAUCCUAUACCUCUGAAAGGCUGCAGCAAGUUAAGUCCCAGCAUUAACAGAGAGCUUUGGGGGAAAAAUGUCCUACAAGAUAGAAACUUACAUCUCUGUCUUCAUUCCUCCAAUGCUGCAUUUGCAGACAGGCAGAGUUGGUGGUUCCCUGUGGCUGGCAGACUGCCUUGCUUGGGCAAGGCACGUGGCAAAGCUCUCCCCAGUCCCUGUUCCCAGUCCCUUUUGUGUCUGGCCAGUCUCUAUCAUGCAGAUGCUGGCAGAUACUCUUUGAGACAAUGACUACUAAUCUCUUUCUUCCUCCUCAGCAACAAUGAAAGAAGCAAGUCUAGUUCUCCUUCCCAGGCUUAUGCCUUCCCCCACUCACCUGAUCCAGCAUCUCCUGUUCCCACUCACAAAGUUUUCCGGUAGAUAGCUCAGGGACAACUUAAAAAAGCAAUCUUCCCCCACACUAGUGUCUCCCAGCCUUUUUAAGUCUUCCUCUUUAUAUUUUUUUUUUGGUUUUGCAGAAUUGAAUUUUACCUGUAGUAAGGAUCAGCCUUGAGCUGACUUUGCACUCUUAAGCUCUGCUGAGAGCUGAUCCUGAAUUGCAGAUUUUGCCUGGAUUUUGCAGAGUUUUCUGAGGUCGAGACCUCCUGACACUGCACAAAAAAGCCCUGAUGAGGUACCACAAAGGGGUAAUGAACACUACUGCCUGGAAAGGUGGUAGAGGCCCCAUCCCUGGAAACAGGGAUGUUGAUGGGGCUCUGAGCAAACUGAUUUAGUGGGAGAUAUCCUUUCUCAUUCCAAGGGAGUUGGACUAGAUGAACUUUAAAGGUCCCUUCUAAUCCAAACUAUUCUAUGAUUCUAUGAAUCUAUGAAAGUGGCCUGAAUCCAGCUGGUCUAGUUUCAUGUAUGGUUAAAAUUUUAAGGGCCUGGGCAGAAGGAAAAAGAGACGGAUGCAGCUACCUAAAUCUUUUUGGCAGUCAAUGCAAAGGUGUAAGCAAUGAUAAAGAAUUCCAGAGGUUGUCUUCCUUAUUUGUGAUGUGUGAGGAAAGAAGAGAGGACUCACUGGAAAUGUUAGUUGUCUUCACGCCUUUGAAAUCUGCUUCAUCUGCCCUUUCCAUAAAGGCAGGAUUUUAGUACUGAAUGGUGCCAUUUGUUGUGCUCUGAAUUAUGUGGCAGCAGUUAGAGCACUAAUUUAAGAUGGGGAUUAUCUAGCUCUUAGCUUUCCUCUGAUGCAGGAAGAAAUGUUCUCCCAUUUCCCAGAUCUCCAGCCCCGGAUAUUUGCUGUAUCCUGGUUGAUAGCAAUCACCAACUCUUCUUUCCAAGCCAAACCAGGGUACAGCCUGUGGAAGAGACAGCAAGCAGGAGGGAACCAUGCGUGAUCAGUCAUCAGGCAUGCACAAGUUUUGCUAUAGCUUUCUCCUAGGUUUUAUCCAGUCACACUGAACUCCACCAGAUCUGCCCCAACAUGGUGCAGCCACAACAACAAUAGGGAAAUGUCUGCUCCACCCUGGUGGUAUCAGGGGUCCUGGCUCAUAUGGAAGCUGAGAGAGGGUGCAGGUGCCUCUUGUUUUAUGCUUGGGUUGCUUUAGGAUCAGUAGCCUCAACCAUGCUGCCUGCACCAGCACUGCAGCAAAGAGUGUGGGCAAAACUAAGCCUGUGUGGAUUUAGCUGUCAUCAUCCAAAUGUGAAACUGUUGAAAAGGAGCAGUUUUGACAAACUGGACCAGUGUCUGAUAUUUGUAAACCAGCAUGUGUCUGUGUUCAUAUUUAUUUGCACCAUUCUUCAAUGCUCUAGUUCUUAGAUUGGUGUGAGGAUAGUUCCUUGGAAAUUAAUAACUGUUAGAGCUUUGUGGCUCAGUGAGUUGUUUACUUCCUUACAUCAUUAAUACUAUCCUUGUAGGGAGGAGGAGUGUUGAAAAUAAUAAACACUCUUUCCUUCAUUAACAUGCUGAAGGCUGUGGAAGCAAAGGCAAGACAUGACUGCUAGUUACUGUGGGGCCUCAAAAUACACCAGCCUCAAAGCUGGUGCUUCAGUCCAUGCUCAGGUCUCCUCUUCUUGCUGUAAUAAAGAAAUGAUAUAAUCACACAAGCCCAAGUUUCUAUCUUUUCUGGCAUAUUGACUGUUCUGCUGUUCACCUGUCUAUCUGUAUAUGUAUUGUAUGUACAUCACUUAGAAAACAUGCUGGAUUUUACACAUUGCGUGUGGGUAU